RNAcentral lists this ribosomal RNA (470 nucleotides) under uncultured bacterium. Its description in RNAcentral is "bacterial SSU rRNA". It matches the Rfam family "Bacterial small subunit ribosomal RNA", at positions 28 to 507 of the family's 1533-position model. The record is from RNAcentral.
GAUGAACGCUGGCGGCGUGCCUAACACAUGCAAGUCGAACGAGGCCCUUUGUAUUCGUACGAAGGUGUCCUAGUGGCGAACGGGUGAGUAACACGUUGGUGACCUGCCCCAAAGUGGGGGACAACUCCGGGAAACUGGAGCUAAUACCCCAUGUGUUCCAAGGAGUUAGAGGUCCUUGGAGAAAAGGAGUAAUCCGCUUUGGGAGGGGCCUGCGGCCCAUCAGCUAGUUGGUAGGGUAAUGGCCUACCAAGGCUACGACGGGUAGGGGACCUGAGAGGGUCGGCCCCCCACACUGGCACUGAAACACGGGCCAGACACCUACGGGUGGCAGCAGUGGGGAAUAUUGCCCAAUGGACGAAAGUCUGAGGCAGCAACGCCGCGUGCGCGAUGAAGGCCUUCGGGUUGUAAAGCGCUUUUCUGGGGGAAGAGAAAGGACGGUACCCCAGGAAUAAGUCUCGGCUAACUACGUG